ACAACAUCUGAACCUACGGUCUGCCGAGCAAUAUCCCCCACUCGGUGGAAGAUCGUCCUUUUCUCGU
Molecule: microRNA precursor, 67 nt
Filed under: Bombyx mori (domestic silkworm)
Lineage: Eukaryota; Metazoa; Arthropoda; Insecta; Lepidoptera; Bombycidae
Description: mir-2774 microRNA precursor family
Rfam family: mir-2774 microRNA precursor family
Source: Rfam by way of RNAcentral